Molecule: non-coding RNA, 74 nt
Organism: Blastomyces dermatitidis ER-3
Lineage: Eukaryota; Fungi; Ascomycota; Eurotiomycetes; Onygenales; Ajellomycetaceae
Source: Rfam
GGUCCUAUAGCUCAGUUGAUUAGAGCGUGAUGCUAAUAACGCCAAGGUCGCGAGUUCGACCCUCAUUGGAACCA